Long non-coding RNA from Microtus oregoni (creeping vole), 496 nucleotides. RefSeq lists it as uncharacterized. NCBI's taxonomy places the organism in Eukaryota, Metazoa, Chordata, Mammalia, Rodentia, Cricetidae. The transcript is spliced from 3 exons. The record is from RefSeq and is a predicted model, not a curated record.
GAGUGAAGUGAAGGAAAGCUGAGCACUCCUUGGGAGAGGCCAGGGAAGUUGUACGGAGGAGCCAAAGCCGGAAGUACCCAAUACCCAUUCCCUGUCGUUGCUCUUGGGCCUGCACUGUGCGCAAUCCCGUGGUGCAGACCUGGAAGUUGCGGGGACGCGAAAACUCCCUGGAGCCGCAGUCGCCGCGGGGCGACCUGGGAAAGUCAGCAGCGCAGUGGUGGAAACCGCAGCCCAGCGGCCCUGGAACCUCCCAGGGCUCACCGAUCACACGGACCUGGUUCUCUGUGGAACAGAACAAAGAGGCCAGGAAGAUGGAGAGAGAGCAGACAGUAGCUAAGGAUCCAGAUGACACUGCAGAGCCAACCAAUAGCAUCAUGGGAGAGGAAGACAAACAGCUCGGUGUACUACAGCAGCAGAUCCAGACCCUGCCCAAUAGCAAUGACCCUGUCAAUGUCAUCAAAAGACCACAGAGGUCUGCUGCAGACUAGACAGCCUC